This 311-nucleotide non-coding RNA is filed under the name bacteria symbiont BFo1 of Frankliniella occidentalis. RNAcentral's name for it is "bacterial SSU rRNA". It matches the Rfam family "Bacterial small subunit ribosomal RNA", at positions 220 to 522 of the family's 1533-position model. Lineage: Bacteria; Pseudomonadati; Pseudomonadota; Gammaproteobacteria; Enterobacterales; Erwiniaceae. The record is from RNAcentral.
ACCAGAUGGACCUGCGUUGUAUUAGCUAGUUGGUGAGGUAACGGCUCACCAAGGCGACGAUACAUAGCCGACCUGAGAGGGUGAUCGGCCACACUGGGACUGAGACACGGCCCAGACUCCUACGGGAGGCAGCAGUAGGGAAUCUUCGGCAAUGGACGGAAGUCUGACCGAGCAACGCCGCGUGAGUGAAGAAGGUUUUCGGAUCGUAAAGCUCUGUUGUAAGAGAAGAACGAGUGUGAGAGUGGAAAGUUCACACUGUGACGGUAUCUUACCAGAAAGGGACGGCUAACUACGUGCCAGCAGCCGCGGUA